GUAUAAGAAUCAAAUAAACUG
This 21-nucleotide small nuclear RNA is filed under the name Arabidopsis thaliana (thale cress). Its description in RNAcentral is "snRNA_10521". The record is from RNAcentral. Lineage: Eukaryota; Viridiplantae; Streptophyta; Magnoliopsida; Brassicales; Brassicaceae.